CAGACUUUGCCUGCGUUCUCAGUCUUUGUGUUGUUUUAAAUACUGAAGCACCCCAGUGGACUUCGGGUAGGAAACUGGAGGAAGCGUAUGUUUCAGUCUCCACGCUUAAGUUGAGGCUCCCAAAACAGGCACUCAAGACCCAAGGGUUUCGAAGCGGCUAAGGUGGAGAAACUGUGGAACUGGCACCUGCCCGUGGCAUCCAGGCUGCCCUCGGGGUUUUGUUUCUAGGACACACAAGUCUUCUGCUUCAGCCCAUAUUCACAGAGUACUUCCUGUGGGACCCAGGGAAGCCUUUUCUACAGGGAAUGUGUUCACCUCUUUAUCAGACGCUGUCCCAUCGGAUAGUCUGUUAACACUGCCUUUGCCUUGUCCUGGUGCCUGAGGACCUGGAUCUGACCUAAAGGAAUAUCGCUGGUAAAAACAGAGGAAAGAUAUCCCCCAAAGGAAUGUGUCAAGAUCCUUUUCUUUGGACAGCUUAGAGACUACAGAACAACUCAGAAGCUCAUCAGUUGGGGAGGAGACGGCACAGAACCCUCCUUCAGCUAAAAGAGGACGCAGGGAAGCAAGAGGAACACGUUUGGCUGCCCUGAGCUGCCUCCCCCACUCCUAACCUGGCUCACCACCCAGCAGCCUCUUCACAGCCCCUUUUAGCUAUGGCUUUAGUCAUCUUAGCACAGCACACAAAGACCAGAAUUGUCAGUGUGAGCAAGUUCAACCUACGCAUUUCAGCUCCAGCCAUGCAACAGCUUCUGUGCUUCUGUAUGAGACUGUCCAGAAGGGGCUCUGAGAACACAGGGGGAGGCUCCCAGUGAGGACCUGGGGCUGUGAAGCCUAACCAUGUAAGGCACAUGGUGAGCAAGAAAGGAGUCUCAGAGAAUAUGCUCACCUACAGGAGAUGUCUGUCUGGACUCUUAUGUGUUCUGGAACCUUCAUCUUCAUCCCCACCAAAACCACACCAGAAUGCCAUUAGUACAUUAAUCCAAGAGGCUGAGGUAGAUCCGUGAGAUCAGCCAUGAGAGACGAGGGGGCCCAAACUUACAACAAUCCUGCUGCCUCACCCUCCCGAGUACUAGGGUUGCAGGUGUGAGCCACUGUGCCUGACUAAAGCCAGUCAUUUUCACUUUAACUGAUUGUAUGAAUUUGUGGUGGUUUGUUUGAAUGAAUUGUCCCUCAUAAUCUCAUAGAAAGUGGCACUAUUCAGAGGUGUGGUUUUGUUGGAGUGGGUAUGGCCUUGUUGGAGGAAGUGUGUCAUUGUGGGGGGUGGGCUUUGAGGUUUCGUAAGCUCAGGAUACUGCCCAGUGUCUCAGUUGGCUUCUUGUUGCCCACAAGACACAGCACUCUCAGCUCCAGCACCACAUCUGCCUGCAUGCUGCCAUGCUCCCUGCCAUGAUGAUAAUGAACUGAACCUUUGAAGCUAAAAGCCACUAUCUCUCAAUUAAAUAUUUUUUUUUGUAAGAGUUGCUGUGGUCAAGGUGUCUCUUCACAGCAACAAAACCCUAAGGACAGUCUUAUACAAUUGUUCCUUGGUAUCCUCAGAGGUUUGUCUCAGGACCCCCAAAGGUACCCAAAGCCACAGACACUCAGGACCUUGUAUAAAAUGAUGUAAUGCUUACACAAAGCUCUCUAAAGUCCUCCUGAAGACACACGUUUACUAGUCUAGUCAGAGUCUAUCUAUGUAGCCCAGACUUGCCUCCAAAUUCCUCUAAUCCUUCCGAGUCUGAGAUUACAGGUGUGUGACACCGUGCCUGUCUCUUCUGAAUAGUUUCAGUUGCCUCUGCAUUAUUCAUAAUACCUAAUGCAUUGUACUGUGUAGGGAAUAAUGACAUCUGCACUUGUUUUUGUGUCUGAAUAUUUUUGAUUAAUAUUGGUUAGCUUCAGGGAUGUGAAAACUGCAGACACAGAGGACAGAUGCAAUGUGUGUGCAUGUGUGUGGUAUAUACGCCUAUGUGGUACAUACAGUAUAAAUGCACUAUUAAACUAUAUGUACGUACACAGCUUUAUAAGGUGUGAAGACUUGUGGAUGUGUGUGUGUGCUCUCAUGACUGUGUGCCUGUUGUGCACUAGACCCCAUUUUAAGCCCCUUAAAUUAGUUUUCACCGAAGCCUAAGCUGACGGGAACUCACUGUGUAGCAAGUUUGUUGAGGAUAACCUUGAACUUCUGAUCCCCCCUCCCCCGCCCUCCCAAGUGCUGGAAUUACAGGCAUGUACCACUGUGCCUGGUUCUCCAUGUUGGGAAUUGAACCCAGGGCUUUGUGUGUGCUAGGAAAUCACUCUACCAAUGGGGCUACAUCUCCAACCAGAAGGAGGUAUCUUUGGAAAGAUGAAAUUGUGAUACAGAGGGAUAAAAAUGAAGAAUCUUGAAUGAAUUAGAAACAAAAUUAUUUUCCCCGUGCCACAAAAUGUCCACCUGGCGGAGCUGGAUGGGAGCCCAGUUGUCCCUUGUACUUGACCGCUGCACUUUUGCCUGCCUCUGGACAGUGCCUGCUGGGCUUCGAUUUCAGGGUCCAAGCUGCCUCGGGGUCCCAGCUUCCAGGCCUGAGACUGCAGCCCUGUGGGAGCAGCCUGCUAGGACCUCACUCCAGGCACUCCAGGCUUCCUGCCUCUCCUCCUGCCCCCUCCCUCCACACUCCCCUGAGCCUUGGUGCUUCUCACUCCCAGGCAGGGUUUCUGCCUCUGUGGCUGCCAGCCUCCUGCUCCAGCCAAGGAGGAGCUGGGGGAGCAGAUGGGCUUCGUGGGUCUCUGGCUGUCUGCAGUGAUAGGAGUGUUGAUUUACUAUCUUCUCCCUGUAUUGAAAAAUAGUCUUCUAAAAACUUUAUGGGCGUAUUUCUAUGGCCCUCUUCCAACUGCAGAAAGCAUUGUGAUACGGUGAAAAUUUCUGGCCAUAUUGUUUCAUUUCAGAGUGAUAUUGAAUCAGGCCUGAGUAAAUAUUUAUGAUUUCUCUCGAAAUGUGGCAGACUUAUGACAUGGUAAUUAAUUUUACUGUAGGCUGAAUUCAAUGUCUUUGGUAAUAUAUGGGUAGGUAUGUAAAGUGUUUAUAGGGCUUUCAAAAGCAAGCCCAGGGCUUACACGAAUCCCUAGUCGUCAGACAGCCAAGGAGGGGCAAGAUUGCAAUUCUAAUUUCGCUGAUAGAAUUUCUGUGGGAAGCCAGGAUUCUUUUAAAGAUUGAUAUUCAUUGCACAAUCACACACAUCAUAUAUUUUAUGUACUGUUAAAGUAUUUGGAAACUUCAAAUACACUUACUUUUCAAGAAAUGCGUGCUUCAAGCAAUGUUAAAAAAGAAAGGCUAAAUUUAGAAGAUUGGCUUUGGUUUGGGGCAAAAGCUGAGAGGAACAGAAUAUUUCAUAGCUCUGCAAAGGGCCCUUAUACAAAGUCUCCAUUUGAGGGGUGCUUCGCUCCCCGCCCCCGCAUUUAAUUAUCAGCACGAUCUACAUUUUCUGCCUUAGAGAAUCUAUCAGGGAUUGUGGCUGUAGCUCAGCUAGAGUGUUUAACCAGCAUGCGCGAGGCUUUGAGUUUGAUCCCCAGCACAGCAUGAAGCCUGGUACCAUCUGUGCACCCAGAGCUCAGGUAGAGCCAGAAGAAUCAGAAGUUCAAGGUCAUCCCUGGACGCCUGGCAGUUUCAAGGCCCUUGUCUCAGACAAAGAGAACAAACAUAUCCAGCUACUCACGGUGGUUCGCACCUAUAACCCCGCUGCUCUGGAGGCCGAGAGGGAUGCCUUUAGGUGCAGGAAGCCAGUCUGAGCUACAGAGUGAGUUCCAGAACAGCCAGGGCUACAGAGUGAGGCUUCACCUCAGGCAAACAAGCAAACUAGCUGGUUUACUUCUCACGUGAUUGUCCGUGAUACUUGUGUUCCGUCCCCAACACCACAGAAAGCAGGCGUGGGCACACCCUUGGGAGGUGGAGGCAGGAAGAUCAGAAGUGCAAGGUGGGGCUCAGCCACACAGUGAUUUGAAGCCAGGCUUAGGUAUAUGAGACCCUAUCUCAAGAACAAUUUUUUAAAAUUAUAAAGCCAGGAGAAGGGCAUCUGCAAGGUGUUUUUGUGUUGCUGUGACCAGAGUAGCUGAUGACGGCAGCCUCAGGGGAAGAAGACUCAUCGUGGCCCCUUGACUCCUGGCUUGAGAAGAUCCAGCCCACAGUGGUGGAGACGGCACCGGGAAGAGCUCCAUUCGCGGUCUAGGAAGCAAAGACACGGAAUGGCAGAGUCUUGUACUGCAGGAAGGGAGCGGAGGGCGCUGGGUUAUUUUCACAUGAAGACAGGCUGUGUAGCGGCACUCUCUGAAUUCCCAGCGCUUGUGUUGAUGAUUCUAGAAUGGGCUUGGGGAGGGGUAAGAGAAAGAGGAAGAAGAAGGAGCCUGCAUCUUGCAUCUUACCUGGUAGCAUUCAUUCUAACUAAAAUGGCUCCCAGAGUACAAUCAGCACCUGGUCCCAUCUCUGUCACACUGCAGACUAGAAAGGGGCCUGUGUGGGCUCAGGGCUAUUUCUACGGUUAGCUUCUAUACUGUAAACUGGGUAACUCAAAACCGUAAGUUUAUGCACUGUUUUUCAGUUUGCCAAGGGGAUAUUGCACGGUGUAAUAAAAUUUCUCAGUGAGCAGUUUCAUUACUUUAUGUAAGAAUAAUAUGUAUUUAUGAGCAAUUACCCUCUGCUGGGCACUUUCCUUCUAGGGCCUCCUUUGAGCUGCACAGGUGAUUUUUAUUUAUGCAUUUCACAAUAUUUAUUGAGCACUUACUAUUUUCCAGACAGCACGCCAAGCUACACUGGUCUUGCUUCAAGAAGCCUAUAAUUUCAGGAGGGACCAGACAUUCCCCUUGCCCCACUGCUGGGAAUUGAACCUGGGACCUGACUCAUGCUAGGCCAGCACACUAUCCCUGAGCUACCUUCCUAGGUCCAGAUAGGUG
This is a long non-coding RNA of Alexandromys fortis (reed vole), 4896 nucleotides long. RefSeq lists it as uncharacterized. The record is from RefSeq and is a predicted model, not a curated record. The transcript is spliced from 4 exons. Lineage: Eukaryota; Metazoa; Chordata; Mammalia; Rodentia; Cricetidae.